Zingiber officinale is the source of this 4162-nucleotide long non-coding RNA. RefSeq lists it as uncharacterized. The transcript has 3 exons. The record is from RefSeq and is a predicted model, not a curated record. NCBI's taxonomy places the organism in Eukaryota, Viridiplantae, Streptophyta, Magnoliopsida, Zingiberales, Zingiberaceae.
CGCGAUUUUGACGAAGGAGGAUGGACACAAUCGCCGAAAUAAAGGAGUUCUUCAACCUUCCGUCGCCGACCAUCGGAGUCCACCAACCAUCGGGAAGUAUAGGAGGGGUACUCUUAGCUAGUCCCGAUCCAUCCUCAUCUUCAUCCGCAAGCCACAAGCUCUGGGUACCAUCUUCACCGUCCAGACGCGCACAGCAGAGGACGCGACUUCAGCUUCUCCAUCCGCCUUCCGCCGGCCACCAGAGUUCCUUCCACCGCUGGAGUAGGGUCGUGGGGGUCACUACUCUAUUCUGCGUCUAUUCCAUCCAAGCUUCGGUCACAAUUCAACCAUCUCCGCCAUUAUGUCUUCCGUUACAGAGUGCUGCUGAAUCUGGUAUGAGGAUACACAAGGACAAUUUACUGAGCCAUAUCCAGCAUAUCAGAGGUCACAUGGAUUUCAUGAUGAUUAUAUGUCUACCUAUUCACAUCCAUUCAAUUAGACCGAACCAGCUCCUUGGGGGGUAUUUCAAGAGAGCACUGAAGAAGUUCAUGCCCCUAGUCAAUCAAUAUUUCAAGAUCUGAAGGAAGUUAUACAGCAAAUGCAGCAACAACAAGAGGCCUAUAUCCAGUCUCAACAAAGAAAUGAAGCAUCAUUACAGAAUUGCCAGAUGUAUCUAGAUCAAAUUGCAGCAUCCAUCAGCCAACUACAAGCCCAAUUAUCUAGUGAGGAGAUAAAUUCUAGAGAAUGUCAUAGCCCUGACCCUGAUUGUACUCCUAUACAGGACUCCUCUAGCCUUUUGUGUGAUGAUGUUGCAAUUGUAGAUUAUUUUAAUUUUGAUAAUAUUGUUGUUGUAGAUAUUGUUGAUGCAGGUGUUUUUGGUGAUGUUGAGGAUCUAGCUGAGCCUGAUUAUACAUCUAUCGCUAAGGAAAGUGUAGGGACUUGCAUGGUGGAAGCAAUGCCCCAAGAAUCACCUAGUUUUGUUGCAUGAUCACCUGAUGAUAAGAGUGUAGGGACUUGUGCUGUGGAGGUAGAGCCCUAAGAAUCACUUCCUUUUGAUGCACCACCAGAGACUGAGCUAUUACUUGAUGAAGAGGAGGUUACAGUCAUCAUUCUAGAACCUCCAGAUAUCUUUCAACAUGACAAGGAGAUUACAAGCUUUCAGAGUGGAUGCUUAAGUUGAACCGCCUUCAAUCUCCGGGAAGGAUCAUUCCACUACCGACAUGGAUUCUACUUCUAAAUCGUUUACAACCACCGGGAAUAAAGAGGAGUUUGUUCAUUACUUUUCUUUUUGCUUUACACUUAUUUUACUUUCAUACUUUAUAUUUGCACCUUGAUUCUAUACUUUGCAUUUUGUUUAGUCUACAUAGCAUCUCAUUUUGAAUAAAACUCUCCAUGAAAUUAUCCUACUAAUACUUUUAAGAUGGUAAAAGUUUCUUAAAUUAGACCAUUAAGCUCUAGGUCAUUUUACAUGAUUGAAUACUCUACUUGCAUGCUAUUGGUUAGUGUGGUGAUGGAUUCUAUUUUAAUUAAUUGAGUUUGAUGGCAAAUAUUACCUAGAGAGGACUAUUCAAAGCCUAUACUCUAUUAUCUUUUUGAGUGAAAUGCACUCAUGACAAUUGAACUCUAGAACUUGCUUUGCUUCUUUUCAAAAUCACAAUAUCAUUGAUAUGCAUGAAUAUGAUGAAGGAUAUUUUCUUUUCCAUUCUUUGAUUCCUAUUCCCAUUCUUUGAAUUCUUUUCCUUUUGAACUCUAGUUGAAUAAAUCUUUUGUCACCUUGCUUUGCUUUCAUUCCAUUGAGAGUUUUGGUUGAUUUUCAUGAUGAGUUGGAUGGUUUGAGAUGGAUAAAAUUCUAAGUGUGGGGGAGGAGUUAUUUGUAUUAAGUUCAUAGAAGCCCCAAUUUCUUGAUGUUACAACCUUAGAGAGUGGUCACUGUUUGGCAGUGAUAGUUCUACCACCAAAAAUUUGCAGAUUAUGAUGGAAGUGGGGAGUGAUUUUGUGUGUGUGUGGUGGCUCCCGUCCUACAAUGUCAUUUGGUGCUUAUCCUUCCCAUGAAGCUCACUCUUUAUUGACUCAAAAACCUUUAGAUUAAUUUGAGGUUCUCUUACUAAAACUAGACAGAAAUCUGUCUUCUGAAACUGUAAAUGCAGGAAUUAAAAGAGAGUAAGAGGUUUUGAGUUACAGAAAAGAAAAAGAAUUGAAAAAAACUGUUUGAUGCGAAUCUGUGAAUGCAAGUUUUUGAUCAAUAAGAGGUUUAAGUGGAGCUUGAGGCCAUUCAGCAGCAGAUCUUCUCCAGAAUUGGCAAUAGCCAUAGACAGAUUUAAUUCCUGAAAAAAAAAUUACAUAUUCAAAUUCCAGGAACUUGGAAACUUUUUGUAGUGAAGUUCAUCAAGAUAUUGCUGAAUUUGUAGAAUUUGAGUGGAUUAAAUUUGAUUUCAGAAGUUGAGAUGCAGGAUUUGAAUUCCUUAGUUCAUCCUUUACAAUUUCUGGGAUUUUAUCUUUUCUAUUAUUGAAUCUACUGAUUCCAGGAGCUGUGUGAGCAGUUGAACUAAAUUAGUAUUAUCCACUAUUGUACAAGAGCAAAACUAGAAGAGAUGAGUUCAAGGAAAAGAGUUAUGGGACGCUAACAAAUUGUUGGAGUACUGGAAUUUUGCAGAAUGUGUAGAAUUGAAAUUUGAAAAUUGAUAUAUCAAUUGUGUGUCAAGUUUUCUUUGCAUCCUUCUAAUCAUUGGGAAUUUUAAAUUGAGUCUUAGAUCUCUCAUAGAGAUAUGGUGAUGUCACUUUGCCCACUCUUUCAUGAUUCAAAGUUUAAGCUUCUUUAAUUCUGAAUUUCUGAAACUGGCUUUCUGAGUUUCUUUGAAUCUAAUUGCUUAGGUCCAAAUUUCAGAAAUGUUGAAACCUAAGGUGGAUCAAUCCAUUGAGUUUUUGCUGAAUCAGUUUCUAAAACCUGAACCUUAGGUAUUUUCAAUCCCUUGAAUUGGAUGUUUGAAUCUGAUCUUUGAGGAUGGAUUGAAGCUGAUGCAACUCGAGCCUCUAUAAUAAAAAUUGAAAUGCCAAGAAUCAGUUACUAACAGAAGUGUGAAACAAAUCAAAUUCAAUAAGAUUAUCCUCGUGAAAGUAAGAUAUAGAUUGUUGGAAAGCUAAAGUCAUAAAUUGGGAAAAUGUUGAAUUAACAUGAAAUUUGGAUAGUAACAAAUACUGAAUCCUCAAGACUUGAGUUUUUGAACUAACCUCUUAAACUCAUUGAAGUUGAUUGUUUGAUUUAAGUAUCUGAAUAUCUGAAAUUGCCUUUGAAGCAAAAUGUCAUGAAUUGCUGGAAAAAGAGUCAACUUUGUUUGUCUCUCCAACCAUACAACAGGAUGGUAUUUUCUUUACUGAUCAAGAAAUAAGAACAAUGCACAGCAGAAACCUGCAAAAAUAUAGAAUCAGUAAAUGUUUGGCCAUCCAUUUCAAAAUUCUCUAACAGGAGACAACUUUAAUUAAACCAGAACUAAUUCAUUGACAUUUGAUGAACCUUCUUUUCUGAAACUAUCAUGAAUUGAAGCAUGUAAUCUCAGUGGAUUCAAUUCUUGAAACUAACUCCUGUUUCCAAUUUUUGUAUGGUAUAAACUCUGAAAAAAAUCAGAAGCUGUUAUUCACUAAUGCUAAUGGGAAAUGGAGAAGAUUACUAGCUUCUAUAUCAGUCCAAGUAUUUUUCCCAUCCGACAUACAGAUUAGGAAUUUAGAGGAUUGGGAAAUGUGGGCAUGUUGAGCACAGCCAGUGUGGAUUCUGCAACUCAAAGAGCUUGACAGAAUGUUAUAGUUGCUGAAAUUUCAAUGGAACACUUUGAUAGGCUCUGGAAUUCUGAUACAAGAAGUGAAGUUAGUUCCUUGAUAUUAGAAUAGGAGGAAACAACAAAUUGAAACUCAUUGCAUGAGGUUUACAAUUCUGAAACUAAGUCAACAGAGAAAGGAAAAACUGACAAGUUCAAGAAUCUGAAUUCUGAAACCAAAUUUCUAAACCUAUGGCAAUUGAGGAAUUUGAUUUUCUUUAGUUGUUUCAGCCGGCUGGAAGUUUGUUUAAAUUUGGUUGUUUCUUUACUUAUGUUCUUCAAGUGUCUAAUGAAACUUGAAGAAGCCUUAUUCAUGAACUGAUGCAACCGUCUGAAUAAAAAUCAGAAACCAUUGUGCUUUCUUUUCAUUGUUU